RNAcentral lists this ribosomal RNA (395 nucleotides) under uncultured bacterium. RNAcentral's name for it is "bacterial SSU rRNA". It matches the Rfam family "Bacterial small subunit ribosomal RNA", at positions 67 to 507 of the family's 1533-position model. The record is from RNAcentral.
CGAGGACCUUCGGGUCUAGUGGCGCACGGGUGCGUAACGCGUGGGAAUCUGCCCUUUGCUUCGGAAUAACAGUUAGAAAUGACUGCUAAUACCGGAUGAUGUCUUCGGACCAAAGAUUUAUCGGCAAAGGAUGAGCCCGCGUAGGAUUAGGUAGUUGGUGGGGUAAAGGCCUACCAAGCCGACGAUCCUUAGCUGGUCUGAGAGGAUGAUCAGCCACACUGGGACUGAGACACGGCCCAGACUCCUACGGGAGGCAGCAGUGGGGAAUAUUGGACAAUGGGCGCAAGCCUGAUCCAGCAAUGCCGCGUGAGUGAUGAAGGCCUUCGGGUCGUAAAGCUCUUUUACCAGGGAUGAUAAUGACAGUACCUGGAGAAUAAGCUCCGGCUAACUCCGUG